Molecule: non-coding RNA, 298 nt
Organism: Pelobates cultripes (western spadefoot toad)
Lineage: Eukaryota; Metazoa; Chordata; Amphibia; Anura; Pelobatidae
Source: the annotation of a GenBank genome assembly
CACAAAUGGAUAUUCCUAACUUUAUAGUGCCCUGGUAGCCGUUUAGCCCACAAUCCCCACCAGUAGGGAGUAAAAAAGGUCUUUUAGUUACCUUUUCUACCUAGCCACGCCAGUCUCCUUGCUGCUUUCCCACCUCCUAGGCUGAGAUCAUCAAGAUCGAUGUUCUAUAGGAGACCAUCUGAUAGACAAAGUCUAGUUUUAUUAAACUAUUUCUGUGGAAGAGCCUUUAGUGGCUGUCACUCUAUAGGCAUUUAAAUCCUGCAAAACAGCAAUGUUUUCAUUUGCAGUUAAAACAGGG